Molecule: unclassified non-coding RNA, 364 nt
Filed under: Ascomycota sp.
Lineage: Eukaryota; Fungi; Ascomycota
Description: partial contains small subunit ribosomal RNA, internal transcribed spacer 1, and 5.8S ribosomal RNA
Rfam family: Eukaryotic small subunit ribosomal RNA (bases 1-47)
Source: RNAcentral
AAAGUCGUAACAAGGUUUCCGUAGGUGAACCUGCGGAAGGAUCAUUAAAUAUAUCUGGGACACCAAGGAGGUUCCCUGACCCAAUCUCUCUCUGUGUACCAAUCCAUGUUGCUUUCCCAGGUAUCCAGUCCAUGCUGCCUGCAAUUGAUUCAUAAUGCUAUGUCAACUCUUGUGCUCCCAGGUAGGGUGAGCUCAACGGGCCUCUGUCAGAGUGAGCUCAAUGGGCCCCUAUCUGGGAGAAUUAUGCAGGACGGCCUGGGAAAGGUCCAAGCAAAAGCAAAUAAUUGAACAGCCAGUCUGAGCAGGCCUAGGGCCUCAUGAUUUGAACAUGUUAAAACUUUCAACAACGGAUCUCUUGGCUCUC